RNAcentral lists this transfer RNA (70 nucleotides) under Hypsilurus nigrigularis. RNAcentral's name for it is "tRNA-Ile". The record is from RNAcentral. Lineage: Eukaryota; Metazoa; Chordata; Lepidosauria; Squamata; Agamidae.
GGAAGCGUGCCUGAAACAUAAGGACUACUUUGAUAAAGCAGACACGGGGCUAAACUACACCCCCACUUCC